GCGGAAGUGGCGAAAUUGGUAGACGCACCAGAUUUAGGUUCUGGCGCCGCGAGGCGUAAGAGUUCAAGUAUCUUCUUCCGCACCA
RNAcentral lists this transfer RNA (85 nucleotides) under Vibrio cholerae. RNAcentral's name for it is "tRNA-Leu(tag)". Lineage: Bacteria; Pseudomonadati; Pseudomonadota; Gammaproteobacteria; Vibrionales; Vibrionaceae. The record is from RNAcentral.